GGAAGUGAACCAUCUCAGUACCCUUAGGAAAAGAAAUCAAUUGAGAUUCCCUCAGUAGCGGCGAGCGAACGGGGAUCAGCCCAUUAAGUUAUAUGUGUUUUAGCGGAAAGCUCUGGGAAGUGCUACCGUAGAGGGUGAUAGUCCCGUACACGAAAGGGCACAUAUAAUGAUGACGAGUAGGGCGAGGCACGUGAAACCUUGUCUGAAUAUGGGGGACCAUCCUCCAAGGCUAAAUACUCCUGACUGACCGAUAGUGAACCAGUACCGUGAGGGAAAGGCGAAAAGAACCCCUGUGAGGGGAGUGAAAUAGAUCCUGAAACCGCAUGCAUACAAGCAGUGGGAGCCGACUUGUUCGGUGACUGCGUACCUUUUGUAUAAUGAGCCGGCUAGUU
Molecule: ribosomal RNA, 392 nt
Filed under: uncultured Gammaproteobacteria bacterium
Lineage: Bacteria; Pseudomonadati; Pseudomonadota; Gammaproteobacteria
Description: bacterial LSU rRNA
Rfam family: Bacterial large subunit ribosomal RNA
Source: RNAcentral